UGUGUGUGUCUCCAGGUGUAUCGAGGGGUUUCCUCCUGCCAGGGUUAAGGCUGUGUGUGUUACCAGGUGUAUCGAGGGGUUUCCUCCUGCCAGGGUUAAGGCUGUGUGUGUGUUCGGAUUACCAGGAACUCUGAGCUUGUGCUGACCAACUCGCAAGUGUCUUCACUGACAUGUUCAACCUGUCCCUGACUGAGACUGUAAUACCAACAUAUUUCAAGCAGACCACCAUAGUCCCUGUGCCCAAGAACACUAAGGUAACCUGCCUAAAUGACUACCGACCCAUAGCACUCACGCCUGUAGCCAUGAAGGUCUUUGAAAGUAUGGUCAUGGCUCACAUCAACACCAUUA
This is a non-coding RNA of Salmo salar (Atlantic salmon), 348 nucleotides long. Lineage: Eukaryota; Metazoa; Chordata; Actinopteri; Salmoniformes; Salmonidae. The record is from RefSeq and is a predicted model, not a curated record.